UUGUUUUCUUUUCAGGAUAGUUUUAGUGGGUAGAGGAUAGCUUCUUAGUCAUGAUAUUAAAAUUCUGUAAUGAAAAUUGAGAGACUGCUUUAAAGCUGAUUUUCCACAUGACUGGAGUCAUUUCUCUUUUCUAGUGUGAGAAUUGACAUAAUGCCAAACAUUUAUACUUAAUACAAUCACAUUAUGUCUUAAGUUCUCACUCAACUAACUCUACAUUUUUUAAGUUGAAGGAAAAGGUAACAAAUUCCACUGAAUUGCAACAUCAAUUAGAAAAAUCAAAGCAACAGCACCAAGAACAGCAAGCCCUUCAGCAAAGCACUACAGCCAAACUCCGAGAAGCUCAGAAUGAUUUAGAACAAGUGUUACGUCAGAUUGGAGAUAAGGACCAAAAGAUCCAGAACCUUGAAGCCUUACUACAGAAGAGUAAAGAAAAUAUUUCCUUACUAGAAAAGGAAAGAGAAGACCUUU
RNAcentral lists this long non-coding RNA (468 nucleotides) under Rattus norvegicus (Norway rat). RNAcentral's name for it is "long non-coding RNA NONRATT025753". The record is from RNAcentral. Lineage: Eukaryota; Metazoa; Chordata; Mammalia; Rodentia; Muridae.